Molecule: non-coding RNA, 882 nt
Organism: Callithrix jacchus (white-tufted-ear marmoset)
Lineage: Eukaryota; Metazoa; Chordata; Mammalia; Primates; Cebidae
Source: RefSeq, a predicted model, not a curated record
UCUGGAUGAGGAAAUAUCUGCAAGGCCACUUGGCAAGACUUGAGAUUUUCCAUUCUUUGUGAAAACGAAUGAAAAGGCAAUUAUUGCCUCACACUGUUCUGAGUAUUCCACAAUGAACCUCUUCUCUACUUCCUGAACAGAAUCCUCAGCUACUGCCUUUUAUCUUCCGUCACUCCCUGACUUCUUGGCCUGAUGUUAUCUGACCAACACUGAGACAAACAUGUCUUUGGGUCUUGGUUUCUGUAGCAAAGGAAAGAAGCUGCCAUUUCUGACUACUGCAAAUGAGGCACUGCUGUGCUAGGCAUUGAAGACCAUUGUAAGGAUGUUGGAAUUUAUUCUGAGUGAGAUGGAGAGAGAUACAGCAAAGUGGCUUCUAGUCCAAAAGUAUCACCCUGGCCUCUCUGGUGAAAGUGAUUUACCAUAAUCCAGAUAUUCUUGCUCUGCUGCUCAGGCUGUAGUGCAGUGACACCAUCCCAGCUAACUGCAACCUCUGCUUCCUGGGUUCAAGCAAUUCUCUUACCUCAGCCUCCCAAGUCAGAAUUACAGCCCACCACCACAGACACAGAAUACUCUAAAAGCCAAAAUACUUUGAGGAGGCACUUGGAAGAAAAAAUGUUUCACUGAAAUUUCAAAACUUCACAUGAUAAACCAAGAGCAAAGCCAGGUUCCAUGUGAUUGCACUUAGGACCAAUCCAGAUAAUACAGAAUAAUGUUCCUCGUUCAUCAUUCUUAAUCAGGUCUUCUGCUAUAUAAGAUGGAAUCCUUGCUUUGUCUCCCAGGCUGAAGUGCGGUGGUGUGAUCUUGGCUCACUACAACCUUGACCUCCUGGGUUCAGGCGAUUCUCCUGACUCAUCCUCCCAAGCAGCUGGGACUACAGGCACG